RNAcentral lists this ribosomal RNA (253 nucleotides) under uncultured bacterium. RNAcentral's name for it is "partial 16S ribosomal RNA". It matches the Rfam family "Bacterial small subunit ribosomal RNA", at positions 524 to 776 of the family's 1533-position model. The record is from RNAcentral.
UACGAAGGUGGCAAGCGUUACUCGGAAUUACUAGGCGUAAAGGGCAGGUAGGCGGUUUGAUAAGUCCGUUGUGAAAGCUCCCGGCUUAACCGGGAGAGGUCAAUGGAUACUGUCGAACUUGAGUAUGGGAGAGGGUACUGGAAUUCCUGGUGUAGCGGUGAAAUGCGCAGAGAUCAGGAGGAACACCGAUGGCGAAAGCAGGUACCUGGACCAUUACUGACGCUCAGCUGCGAAAGCUAGGGGAGCAAACAGG